RNAcentral lists this ribosomal RNA (321 nucleotides) under uncultured eukaryote. RNAcentral describes it as "partial 18S ribosomal RNA". It matches the Rfam family "Eukaryotic small subunit ribosomal RNA", at positions 1470 to 1796 of the family's 1831-position model. The record is from RNAcentral.
CCCUUGGAUGUUCUGGGCUGCACGCGUGCUACAAUGGCGCUUGCAACAAGUCUUGCCAACCCGAUAGGGUGAGCGGAUCUUUGAAGAGGCGUCGUGAUCGGGACAGUUGAUUGCAAUUAUUCGACUCGAACGAGGAAUUCCUUGUAAUCGCGAUUCAUCAUAUCGCGCUGAAUACGUCCCUGCCCUUUGUACACACCGCCCGUCGCUCCUACCGAUUGAAUGCUCAGGUGAGCCAUUCGGACUUUCAUCAUGCUGGUUUCCAGUUUUGAUGAAGGAAAGUCUUGCGAACCUUAUCAUUUAGAGGAAGGAGAAGUCGUAACA